UGCGUAGGCGGAAUAUUAAGUCAGUGGUGAAAUCCUGCGGCUCAACCGUAGAACUGCCAUUGAUACUGAUAUUCUUGAAUGUAGUUGAGGUAGGCGGAAUGUGUAAUGUAGCGGUGAAAUGCUUAGAUGUUACACAGAACACCGAUUGCGAAGGCAGCUUACUAAACUAUGAUUGACGCUGAGGCACGAAAGCGUGGGGAGCGAACAGGAUUAGAUACCCUGGUAGUC
This 228-nucleotide ribosomal RNA is filed under the name uncultured bacterium. RNAcentral's name for it is "partial 16S ribosomal RNA". It matches the Rfam family "Bacterial small subunit ribosomal RNA", at positions 568 to 795 of the family's 1533-position model. The record is from RNAcentral.